RNAcentral lists this long non-coding RNA (3413 nucleotides) under Populus trichocarpa (black cottonwood). RNAcentral's name for it is "long non-coding RNA (PTRI_LNC000712)". Lineage: Eukaryota; Viridiplantae; Streptophyta; Magnoliopsida; Malpighiales; Salicaceae. The record is from RNAcentral.
GUGCAUGCUAGUCCUACACACUUAAAAAAUUAGAAAAUUUAUAUCCAUAUGUUUUUCUUGAUCCAAAUUUUUUAUAUAUAAAGAUAUACUAAUAAAAUAUUGUUUCAUCAUAUACAUAUUCAUGUCCAAUAUUGUGCAUUUCAUAUUCUAAGCAUAUGUUAAAAAAAAGAAUUAAUUGCAUUUACGAUGAACUUAAAAUUCAUAAUAUAUACAUUGAAAGAAUAAAUCGAAUAUCAACAUUAUAUUUAAUUAAAAAGCUAGUGGACAUAACUCGCACUUGAGAUUGGGGUUGAAUGAUUAUUCUUCAUCUACUUAAAUCAAUUAAUCGUUGGCACAAAUACUAGCAUUAUCAAGAAACUUGGUGAAGAAACCUUCUAGGUGGUGGCCCAGUGGUAAGAGCUUGGGACCAAGAGGUUUACUCCCUCUGUGGUCUCAGGUUCAAGCCCUGUGGUUACUCAUAUGAUGGCCACUGAAGGCUUACAUGGUCGUUAACUUCAGGACCCGCGGGAUUAGUCGAGGUGCGCGCAAGCUGGCCUGGACACCCACGUUAAACUAAAAAAAAAAAAAAACUUGGUGAAGGACCUAAUUAGGUAGAAUACUCUCUGAUGCAUAGUAAGAUGUCAAAUACCAUCUAAAUACAAAGUAACUGAGAAAUCUCUUUAUUUCAAUUCGUGUGAUCUAAUCAUAGGUUAGGUAUGAACCAUCACGUUAACUUGUAUGAAAACUUCGUGUGAUCUAAUCUAUUUUAAAUAGUAAAAUUAUAACAUUUUUUCUUAAAUGUACCAAAUGUGAAUAUCUUAUUCACGUUAAAAUUAUAACAUUUUAUUACCUUUAGAUUUAAUUUCAAGAUAGAAUUCAAUUUUAAUGAAUAAAAAAAUUGAAAAAUUGAAAAAAAUAAUAAUUAAACACUAUAAAAAUUAUAUCAUAUUUAAGUUAAGUAUUUUAUGAGUACGAAAUUGUUUAAUAUUUUUGUUCAAACAAUUAUAACAACUUGAUAACACAAAUAAAAUUAUGAUAAUAUAGUCAAAUCAUUAAUUAUGUAUAAAUAAUUAAAUAAGUAAAAAAAUAUAGAUUUAUACAAUUAUUCAGUCACUUGCACACAUAGUAAAUUAACUAGAUUAUUGGUUUGUGCAACAUUACAUGUCAGAUAAUUUUUUUAAUAUAAAAAAAAAUCCAAGCAUAGCUAAUAUUUUUCUAGUAGAAAAAAAUAAUUGUGAAGAAGUUGACUCGAUAUAACUCGAUCGACUUGACUAGUCCAAAAACAAUCUGGAUAACUGACAAAAAUAUAAUUUGACCUAAAACAUUUCAAGAUGACAUCAUUUUUUUAAAUAUUGAGAUGACAACAUAUUAGAUCGAUUUGACUCAAUUUAAGUUAACUUUUCAAAUCCGUAACCUGGGUCAUGAGACCAUGAUAACCCUGUAUAAAGCAAAUCAAAACAAAUUAUAAAACUCAAUUUCCAAUCAAUCCAAUGAUGAAAUUAAAAAAAAAAAACUCAAGUCAACUUGAGUAAACCUGUCAAAUCCACGACUCAGGUCAUGAGACCAGGAUAACUUCAUAGAAAGUAAAUUAAAAGAAAAAGCUUAAUUCCCAAUCAACUUAAUAUUGAAAGAAUAAAUUGAAAAAAAGUCAAUAAAAAAUAACACAAAAAAUAACCACAAUCAACUUGAGUUAUGAGACCAUGAUAAUUUUAUAGAAAAUAAAUCAAAAUAAAUUAUAAAAUUUAAUUCUCAAUCAACCUAAUAUUGAAAGAAUAAAUUGAAAAAAAGUCAAUAAAAAAUAACACAGAAAACAACCACAAUAAACUUGAGUCAUGAGACCAGAAUAACCUCAAAAAAAAUAGACAAAAAAAAUAACAUGAGCCAGCCCGGGUUAAUCUACUAAGUCCAUGAUCUAGAUAAUGAGACUAUGAUAAUCUCAUAAAAAGCAAAUUAAAUAAAUUAUAAAACUCAAUUCCUGAUAAACUCAUUGUUAAAUAAUAAAAUUUAAAUUUUUUUUUUUAGAAAGACAAUAAAUGACCUGACUGCUUAGGUUAAUUAGCUGAUAAAACUCGUGAGACUAAGAUAACCUUGUAAAAAAUAAACAAUAACAAAUGAUAAAGUUUAAUUAUUUAUCAAUUCAAUGUAAAAGUUAUUGAAAUUUUUUUAAAAAGUAUUAAUUAAAAAAAAAAUCUUUUAGUAUUUGAACAUCCAUGUCCACACUCUGCUUUCUUCCGGUGCCCGAAUAAACAUAAUUAUUUGGAUUGAUUAUUUGGUUCUAAUGUUGAUGUCAAUCUUGACUUGAUAAAAACUCUUCUCAUACCUGUCUCUCCUAGUUCAUUUUCAUGGCUGUAUCUUUUGGUUUUUUAACUAGGAGUCCCACUCAAGGUUAGGUGAACUAGUGGCUUCAAAACUCAAAGCAACCUGCAAGAGAUUAACAAGGGAAAACAAAUCAGUAUCUCCAAGCAAGAAGCAUAUGAACAAUCAAAAUCAAAUAGGAAAGGUGCCUGCCUCCUCCAUGGGCAUUUUUUGUCGAUCGUCCAUCAAUUCCAAUCUCGCAAAUGGUUCGCGAUGCAUGAGCAAAAACAUGACAGUCGUCUUCCAUGUAAAAAUGCAAACAGUAAGAACUUUCUAAAUCCAUUCCUUGCACUUCCCACGUAGCUUCUCACGACCUUUUUCUUUUGCAGGAACACUAACCACCCAACCUUGCCUACGUUGAUCCUUUUCUGUAAGAAUGCUGGUCAGAAAUUCACUAAUAUGUCUGCACACCACCAGAAACAGUGUAUCAACACAAAAAAUCAUAAAACAGAGAAGAACAUCGCAUGCUUGAACAAUAAGUAGGCAUGUUUACGUGUACACAAAGCAAAAAAGGUAUCGAAGGUAUGCAAAAAUGCCGAAGUGUUGUUCAAGAACCCUUGAAAGGUUUUGUUUUGACGAACGAAAGAGGCAAUGGGUUAAAAAGCCAAAAACAACAUGCACAAUUAGCAAUGCCGAAAAAGGAUUCGAAAGAUGCAUUGAAAGCUUAAAAAAACGAGUUUUUCUUUCAACCUAAGAAGCUACAAAGCAGAAAAAAAACAUGUUGAGGAAAAAAAAGGUGCAAAACCAUCUCAUAGCUAACAAAAAGAAAAAAAAAAGCACAAACCAACUUGUUCUUAGAGCUGGCAAGAAAACAGUGGUGAAAGAGGCAUAGUCAUGACCAGCAAAAAGGACCUCAACUGCCAGCUGAAAAGGCUAUCAUUGUUUAAGUUUUUUGCAAGUGCUGGAAACUGUAGUAAAUAAUUUCAAGAAAGAAGGGUGGCAACGAAGAGACUAAACCUGUGAAGAACAACAAAAAGACGCCCAAGCUCGCAUCGAAGCCAGGAUACAUGAAAGUGGAACAACAAAACCAAGGGAAAAGGCAGAACCACAGCCAUCAUGCUUGAACAAUAAUUCCAAGG